RNAcentral lists this ribosomal RNA (424 nucleotides) under Fusobacteriota bacterium. RNAcentral's name for it is "Fusobacteria bacterium partial 16S ribosomal RNA". It matches the Rfam family "Bacterial small subunit ribosomal RNA", at positions 355 to 776 of the family's 1533-position model. The record is from RNAcentral. Lineage: Bacteria; Fusobacteriati; Fusobacteriota.
UGAGGAAUAUUGGUCAAUGGGCGAGAGCCUGAACCAGCCAAGUAGCGUGCAGGAUGACGGCCCUAUGGGUUGUAAACUGCUUUUAUGUGGGGAUAAAGUGCGUGACGUGUCAUGCAUUGCAGGUACCACAUGAAUAAGGACCGGCUAAUUCCGUGCCAGCAGCCGCGGUAAUACGGAAGGUCCGGGCGUUAUCCGGAUUUAUUGGGUUUAAAGGGGGCGUAGGCUGUCUAUUAAGCGUGUUGUGAAAUAUACCGGCUCAACCGGUGGCUUGCAGCGCGAACUGGUCGACUUGAGUAUGCAGGAAGUAGGCGGAAUUCAUGGUGUAGCGGUGAAAUGCUUAGAUAUCAUGACGAACUCCGAUUGCGCAGGCAGCUUACUGUAGCAUAACUGACGCUGAUGCUCGAAAGUGCGGGUAUCAAACAGG